This 253-nucleotide ribosomal RNA is filed under the name uncultured bacterium. RNAcentral's name for it is "partial 16S ribosomal RNA". It matches the Rfam family "Bacterial small subunit ribosomal RNA", at positions 524 to 776 of the family's 1533-position model. The record is from RNAcentral.
UACGUAGGGGGCAAGCGUUGUCCGGAAUUACUGGGCGUAAAGGGCGCGCAGGCGGCUUUCUAAGCCUGACGUGAAAUCCCCCGGCUUAACCUGGGAACUGCGUCUGAUACUGGGAAGCUUGAGUAUGGGAGAGGGAUGUAGAAUUCCAGGUGUAGCGGUGAAAUGCGUAGAUAUCUGGAGGAAUACCGGUGGCGAAGGCGGCAUCCUGGACCAUUACUGACGCUGAGGCGCGAAAGCGAGGGGAGCAAACAGG